AUUACCUGAAAACUUCAAGAGCAAUGUGUGUGAACUGAAAAUCAAGAAGUCUCUUGGAUUGUUAAGGUCACAGGGCUUCGAUAUGUGCUAAAAGAAAGUAUGAAUAUAUUGCUUCUAAACAUAGGCACCAAAAGAUAAGGAUACGAGGUAAGGUGGCUAUGCUUGCCUAAGGAUUUUCUUCCACUACCAUGAACCGUUUUCUAUAUAUUUCACGCAGGCUAGAUAUCCUAACCAUGGAACUCAAUAUGGAUCAUUACCCAAAAUACCAGACCACGGUCUUUGACAAGGUGCAAGUUGUUGCACAACCAUCACUACAAGAAAAUCACUUAUCAAUCCUCUCAUUUUUACUCUUCUACUACACUGUAGAUACUAAUUCUAGCUAUAAAUAAUUCUUAUUCUCCUUUCACUAUGUCACCACGACACUUUUAUGCCAUCCAUGCUUUUUAUAAAAUUAAUUUGUAAUAAUUGACAAUAUCUCAAUUUUGCAUCUUAAUACAUAAGAAUUAUGCUUCUCAACCCAUAACAAUUAUGCAUCUACACAUGUCAA
Cryptomeria japonica (Japanese cedar) is the source of this 547-nucleotide long non-coding RNA. RefSeq lists it as uncharacterized. NCBI's taxonomy places the organism in Eukaryota, Viridiplantae, Streptophyta, Pinopsida, Cupressales, Cupressaceae. The transcript has 3 exons. The record is from RefSeq and is a predicted model, not a curated record.